GGCCGUGAGACAGGUGCUGCAUGGCUGUCGUCAGCUCGUGUCGUGAGAUGUUGGGUUAAGUCCCGCAACGAGCGCAACCCUUGUCUUUAAUUGCCAUCAUUCAGUUGGGCACUUUAAAGAGACUGUCGGUGUUAAACCGGAGGAAGGUGGGGAUGACGUCAAGUCCUCAUGGCCUUUAUGCCCAGGGCUACACACGUGCUACAAUGGUCGGUACAAAGGGUUGCCAAGCCGCGAGGUGGAGCUAAUCCCAUAAAACCGAUCGUAGUCCGGAUCGCAGUCUGCAACUCGACUGCGUGAAGUCGGAAUCGCUAGUAAUCGUGAAUCAGAAUGUCACGGUCGAAUACGUUCCCGGGCCUU
Molecule: ribosomal RNA, 357 nt
Filed under: uncultured Rhodocyclaceae bacterium
Lineage: Bacteria; Pseudomonadati; Pseudomonadota; Betaproteobacteria; Rhodocyclales; Rhodocyclaceae
Description: bacterial SSU rRNA
Rfam family: Bacterial small subunit ribosomal RNA
Source: RNAcentral